RNAcentral lists this ribosomal RNA (23 nucleotides) under Ixanthus viscosus. RNAcentral's name for it is "partial 26S ribosomal RNA". Lineage: Eukaryota; Viridiplantae; Streptophyta; Magnoliopsida; Gentianales; Gentianaceae. The record is from RNAcentral.
GACCCCAGGUCAGGCGGGACUAC